This 492-nucleotide ribosomal RNA is filed under the name uncultured bacterium. RNAcentral describes it as "partial 16S ribosomal RNA". It matches the Rfam family "Bacterial small subunit ribosomal RNA", at positions 29 to 507 of the family's 1533-position model. The record is from RNAcentral.
AUUGAACGCUGCCGGCAUGCUUUACACAUGCAAGUCGACCGGAAACGGGCCUUCGGUUGCUGACGCGGGCCGCACGGGCACUUAAUGCAUCGGAACGUACCCAGGGGUGGGGGAAAACGCCUCGAAAUCUGUCCUAAUACCCCAUGUGACCGGAGCAUCACACCGGGGGACCGGCCAGCAAUGUUUGGCCUCGCGCCUUUGGAUCGCCCGAUGUCGAGUUGGCUGUUUGGUGGGGUAAAGGCCUACCAAGGCGACGAUCCGUAGCUGGUCUGAGAGGACGACCAGCCACACUAGGACUAAGACACGGCGCAGACGGCUAGGGGAGGCAGCAGUCGGGAAUCAUGGACAAUGGGCGCAAGCCUGAUCCAGCACUGCCGCGUGAGGGAAGAAGGCCUUCGGGUUGGAAAGCGCCUUUCGCAGGAACGAAACGGUGUCCGCUAAUACCGGGCGCUAAUGACGGUACCUGGAGAAUAAGCACCGGCUAACUACGUG